This is a long non-coding RNA of Triticum aestivum (bread wheat), 4542 nucleotides long. RefSeq lists it as uncharacterized. The transcript is spliced from 3 exons. Lineage: Eukaryota; Viridiplantae; Streptophyta; Magnoliopsida; Poales; Poaceae. The record is from RefSeq and is a predicted model, not a curated record.
AUGUCUUGUUGUCAUGGACCUUUCUUUGAUUGAUCUGUUGCAAGAUUUGUCCUAUGACAUAGCCAGAAUGUCCCGAAGGGUGAAGCACCGGUGGAUGUAUUCUUAGAUAAUGUGUAAAAAUAUAAGAUGCACAUUUCACUGGUUCUUUGCAUGAGCGCCUAUCCUGUCUCUGCUCGUACAGAAAUGAUGCCAAUCCUAGGGUAUGUAGAUUUCAACAAGGCUUUAAGUAGAGCAAUACCGUCUGGAUGAAACACUACUAACAUUUUAGUUUAGUUUAUUAGGAUCCACUUACCGGGAGAAGAUAUUAUUGUUAUUGUUAGUUGUUACCCAUUUCUAUCUUAUCAUGCAAGUGACUUGUAUAUAUUCGUUCAUGUUGAAUAAGAACAAGGCGUCUGCAGAGAAGCAGGUCUCAAUUUGUAUUCUGAUCUAAUGGUUGAUUACACUGAUGCAGUGUUAGGAACAGUGGUGAAGGUGAGCUGUCGAAGCUCGAAACCUUUUUUGACAUGUAAUCAUUGUCCUCAAGUUAGAUCACACAAAACUUACGUGUUGUCUUAUAACUGAAGUAUAUCCUUUGUUAAUUCCACACUUGUGCAAUCUUUCUCAUUUUGUGCUACAAAGACUCCCACUUAAGCUUAAUCGAGAAAUCAGUGCUAUUUUUGCAAAUAACUUUACAUGUUGAGGUGCUUCCUUUUGUGUCCUUCGCUAGCGUGUGCAUGUAUAUUAGUGGUGGACAACCACAAAGACUAAAUGCUAACAGGGUUCUGUUUAUUACUCUGAUCUUGUGAUUUUAAAAUGUUUAUGCGUAAGCCAAACUUUCAAAAUUCAAGGUAUUCAUGCUACUUUUAUUCUUUUCAUCAUGCCUGAGUCUUUACAUCUCAUAGUCAAAGCAUAAAGAUUUCGUUGGAGCUGUACAUGACAAGGUUGACAAGAUUGUGCUGCUAUGUAAAAUGGACACAUAGCAUGAGCCGAGGCACUCAAACAAUACAAGUGCGCACAGGACCGCCUUAAGAGGCGCCACCAGGUGGCGCCCCAGCCACUAGUUACAUUACAAAGGCUGCUGCAUGCGUAUGCCAGCAGGCGUCGCCUCCCCCUCCCCUCGCGUCGCCUCCCCUUGGGCGGCGCCAGGGGCCCCGAAACCCUAGCGCCGCCAGCACGCCUCCUCCUGCCGCCGCUGUCGCCGGCGUGGGCCGUGGUGGCGGCAGGCCCGGUGCCGAAGGCAUCUGGGCGGGCGGAUGCAGCGGAUCCCAUCUGAGGCGGCAGGGGCGGCUCCUCUCGUGCGAUCCAACGACAGCGGUUGGGACGGCGACUCCAGGCUAUGCGGCGGGGGCUGGAGCACCAAAGCCGGCGGAGCGGCGGCCCUGAUUGGACGGCGGCGAUGGCAGCGCCCUAGCCGGCAGGGUGGGCUGUUCUGGUCGUGAUGGUGACGGCGGUCACUGCGGAUCCAACGCCCCGUUUGGAUCCGUCGCGGGGAGGCCUUCCGCCGACCGGCGGCGCGUGGAGGGACCGGUGAGGAGAUGCCGGAUCUUUGCCGGAGUACCGACGGCGACAUACGUCUUCGUGGCGAGGUUCCGCCCGGUUCCAGCCAGCCGCGAGGUCGGGAAGACGUGGCUUCCGGUGAAAAUCGCGCCUGACUGCGGUCUUGGCGGACGAUGGCGGCGUCUCAGACGUCGUUCCCUUCUGGAGGCAUCGUCGUUGCAGGUCACAUCAACCUGAUCGGGAAGUUCCGGGGGAAACCCUAGAUCUGGGUCUACCGGAUCGGACGAUGACGGUGCCUUCGGUAUCGUUCUCCCUCUUGGGGGCAUUGUUUUGGAGCAAGUGCUGGUUGGAGGGGACAAGAGGAGGAGCGGUGAUUCAUCUGGUCCAUUGAUGACAGCGGAUCUCGGCGGCGUGGCGUAGUGGAGACUUGGCGCCUGAUGAGCGGAGAUGGACUCGCGCGGGAGGGUGACGUUGCCUGGCGUCAUGGUGGCGUCGGCGGCAGCUAGACCGUGCAAGGUUGAUGCAGCAGUACAGCUCUGAAGAUGGAUUGGUGGCAGGUGGCUGCGACGGCCUCAUACCCGGCAAGUGUCCUGGUUGAGGAGCACGCCGAACCGAUGGGUGCCCAUACCCUGCAGGCGUCCUGGUUGGGAGCUCAAGUCUUAGAUGUUAGGUUUGGCUGCGAGGUCUGUUUGGUAUUAGGCUCAGACUUUCAGCACCCCUUCAUCAACUGGAUAGGGAUAGCGACAGGUGUUGCUUAGUUGGUGGCUUUAGUCUUAUUGUUGUAUGACUUUGUAUGACUUUGUUUCUUUGUAACGGGGUUCAGUAGCUUCCGUCUCCUGAAUUAUUCUUGUUGUAAUUUCAUGGUUAUUCAGUUAUCAAUCUUCUCUUACUCAUUUCACGUGUCCAUAGUUAGCCAGGAAACUGAAGGUGGGUCAUGUAUUUAGCACGGGUUCGAUGUGGCGGUUGUUAACUUAUUCCAACGGUGAAGAAUGGUAGUUGUUGCCGGAUGAAUUUCUAGUCUCGCACCUUCUUAUUUCUGGACUUGCACGAUGGACAGCCUGAAUGGCGCUGACGCGUGCUUCUCCUGAGGAGGGCCAUGUGACGGCCAGACCGGCAGACAUAGCCAGGAUAUGCGGUACAAGGGAUUCGAGGCAGAUUGAGGAAGGAGAUGGAGCAGGUGGUGGAUUAAGGAAGGAGCUGGAGUAGAGACGAAUUAGAGCUGCUUAAGUGCAGGCCCAUGGAGAUAAGCGCUAAUGUGCACCCAAGGUUCAGGGAGGUGAUCCAGGUUUCCAAGAAGGUUAGAAGGUUAGUUGCUUGUGCAAUUCAGUUCAAAUGUAGCUUGUUGCUGGAAGGAGUAGAGUUUGAUUAGAUCGGAUCAACAUUAUUUGGUAUUUUGGUAGUGGUUAAGUAUGGGAUAUGCACCUGCCAUUUUUCUAUGCAUGUUUUUCUAUCCAUGUAUGCUGCAUCCUUUGACUUAUGUAUGAUGUGAUGUCAUUGGUCACUCAUGUGAAGUUGCGUUGUUUGAUUCAAGUGCAAUUAGACCGUGGCAGCCAUGGAGAAUAUAUGCAUGAAGCCGUGAGCAGUGAGCAGCUUACCUAUUUAUUAUUGUUGGCCUUUUCAGUUGGAUUUAGUAUAGCUGCCUCUCAAUUGAUGAACAAAGACUAACAUUAUCUCUUUAUUAUUGCAUCUUAUACCCCCAGAUUGAGAAAAACAAACCUUAUCAUUUCCAUUUGUAGAAUUAAUAUCAUAUUUGAGGGAUCAGUUGGCACUGAUGCCUAAAAUGUGUUCUUUUUUCGCAUGCUUAAUUGUACACAGCUAGAUAGAGAUGCAUAAGUAUUUAAGUUGAUGCACAAGCCAAUUUAUAGUAGGAUUAUGAGGACAAUCAACUGAGCUCCAACAACUUAAUCUGCUAUUUUCUUUCUUAACCAUCAGAACGAAUAGUUAUGUUUGUUGAGUUUAUGUAAACAAUCAUACUUGAGACCUUCUAAAGCAAAGCAAUCUGUAGAACUUGUAUUGAAAGCAAGAACGAGGCUUAUCAUUCAGGUUACUUGUUGUGACAUGUGACAUAAAAGCAAUUUGUAGAACUUCUGUUUGCCUGAUCCCUAUGCCUUUUCUAUAUAUAGUGUUCCAUCUAGGUUAACUCUUGUGAUGGAACCUUUCAACGCUGGUUUAGUCUGGUCGAUCUUAUCAAUGUAUGAGCGAAAGUCUGCAUUCCAGAUCAAUGUAGAUGUCAAGCUGGAAUAAAAACAUUCAAGAGCUUCUCAGUACGGAUAUUAUUCUACUGAUUUCAUUACUUCCCCAUGGUUUUAGCCUGUCACAAAUGGAGAAUCAUCAUCCAGCUACAUCUCCCUUAGAAUCAGGGAAAAGUUCCCCAUUUAAAGACCAAACAUGCAUAAUCUAUUUAGAGUUUCAGUUUGUUUUUUGUCUGACAUCUCUGUUGCCUCUGUUAUAUUACUACAUUGCUAUUAAAACAAGGAAGAAUGGCCUGAUGUUGCCUUUGAAUCUGAUUGUCGGGUACUGGUGGAGAUGUGGAACUCAAGAAAACAUAAUAGAUGGAGAUUAUCGGUUUCCUGUCAGAAAUUGAGUUGAGCCAAGCCUUUUGUUCUUCUAUUUUGUCUUUUCUUCUUAGAGAGGUUAAUUUUUAGCACACCUGUGUACAAUCCUGCCCCUGCUGGGUGAGCUUCCCCAUCUUCUGAUGGUACGGCGUCCUUCGAGCUAGGACGAGGGGCAGGGGUCCUCUUCGGAGAUGGUUUCAGGUAGUUUGUUGCAGCUCACCACUCCUGGUGCAGAUGAGGGCAUGCUUCCUGCCUAUGAUGGGUCUCAUCUUGUUAGUGCUUCCGCUCCACCUAUGGUGCUCAUUCUGCGGCUGGGGACUUCAUCGACAUCAAGCGAAGCUUUGUUGUCCAUUAUUUUGUAGUGCUUGGUGUUGUUGAGGUUUAUAAGUUGUCUAGUAGCACCAUGUAUCUGCCGUCUUUUUCUUUUUUCCUCUUGUAAGGUGCUGUCCGAUGUAACUCCUGGCCGGUUGAUGGCUUUGUUAAUUCAAAGCCGGGCUCUCUCUCGAGCCUU